RNAcentral lists this ribosomal RNA (457 nucleotides) under uncultured bacterium. Its description in RNAcentral is "partial 16S ribosomal RNA". It matches the Rfam family "Bacterial small subunit ribosomal RNA", at positions 338 to 795 of the family's 1533-position model. The record is from RNAcentral.
CCUACGGGCGACAGCAGUGGGGAAUAUUGCACAAUGGGGGAAACCCUGAAGCAGCGACGCCGCGUGAGUGAAGAAGUAUUUCGGUACGUAAAGCUCUAUCAGCAGGGAAGAAAAAAAGUCCUUUGGACUUUGGACGGUACCUGACCAAGAAGCCCCGGCUAACUACGUGCCAACAGCCGCGGUAAUACGUAGGGGGCAAGCGUUAUCCGGAUUGACUGGGUGUAAAGGGAGCGUAGACGGCAGCGCAAGUCUGGAGUGAAAUGCCGGGGACCAACCCCGGAACUGCUUUGGAAACUGUGCAGCUGGAGUGCAGGAGAGGUAAGCGGAAUUCCUAGUGUAGCGGUGAAAUGCGUAGAUAUUAGGAGGAACACCAGUGGCGAAGGCGGCUUACUGGACUGUAACUGACGUUGAGGCUCGAAAGCGUGGGGAGCAAACAGGAUUAGAUACCCUUGUAGUC